RNAcentral lists this unclassified non-coding RNA (464 nucleotides) under Hevea brasiliensis (rubber tree). The record is from RNAcentral. Lineage: Eukaryota; Viridiplantae; Streptophyta; Magnoliopsida; Malpighiales; Euphorbiaceae.
GUUCAUUUAUAUUCAGCAUAGCCUGCAAGGAAGUAUGGUAAAAUACAACUUUUUCUUCCUACCAAUCAGUAUUGAUGUACAGCUUGAAUAAAUAGCAUGUGAUUAGGCUCCCAGUAACCAAGAAUACAGCCACUGGCCAGCAUAUCAGGGAUGAUUACAAGCAUAGUAUUCUUUCCAAACUCAACUCCCAAACCCCACCAAAAAUAAACACCCGUAUGUCAGAACAUGCACAUGUGGGCAUGCCUUUGGUUGUCAAGCCCAAUAACGAUUGCCCCAAAGUAAUCACUUAGAAUAUCUCGGCUCAAUCCUUCAAGUAGAUGGGGGAGGUGAGGAAGAUGUUAGUCAUAGGAUUAAAGCCAGAUGGUUGAAGUGGAGAUGUGCUACGAGAGUUUUACGUGAUCGCAAAAAUCUCAAUAAUUGAAAGAAAAAUUUUACCUUAUAGUUAUACGACCGGCCAUGUUAUA